GGUAAGGUAGCUGAGUGUUUAGCGUUAGGCUGUAGACCUAUUUUACAGAGGUUUAAUUCCUCUCCUUAUUA
This 71-nucleotide transfer RNA is filed under the name Ranacephala hogei (Hoge's toadhead turtle). Its description in RNAcentral is "Mesoclemmys hogei (Hoge's toadhead turtle) tRNA-Tyr". It matches the Rfam family "tRNA". Rfam says of the family: Transfer RNA (tRNA) molecules are approximately 80 nucleotides in length. Their secondary structure includes four short double-helical elements and three loops (D, anti-codon, and T loops). Further hydrogen bonds mediate the characteristic L-shaped molecular structure. tRNAs have two regions of fundamental functional importance: the anti-codon, which is responsible for specific mRNA codon recognition, and the 3' end, to which the tRNAs corresponding amino acid is attached (by aminoacyl-tRNA synthetases). tRNAs cope with the degeneracy of the genetic code in two manners: having more than one tRNA (with a specific anti-codon) for a particular amino acid; and 'wobble' base-pairing, i.e. permitting non-standard base-pairing at the 3rd anti-codon position. The record is from RNAcentral. Lineage: Eukaryota; Metazoa; Chordata; Testudines; Chelidae.